UACGUAGGGUGCAAGCGUUAAUCGGAAUUACUGGGCGUAAAGGGCGCGUAGGCGGCCCGCUAAGUCGAACGUGAAAUCCCCAGGCUUAACCUGGGAACUGCAUCCGAUACUGGAUGGCUUGAAUUCGGGAGAGGGAUGCAGAAUUCCAGGUGUAGCGGUGAAAUGCGUAGAUAUCUGGAGGAAUACCGGUGGCGAAGGCGGCAUCCUGGACCGAGAUUGACGCUGAUGAGCGAAAGCUAGGGGAGCAAACGGG
RNAcentral lists this ribosomal RNA (253 nucleotides) under uncultured bacterium. RNAcentral's name for it is "partial 16S ribosomal RNA". It matches the Rfam family "Bacterial small subunit ribosomal RNA", at positions 524 to 776 of the family's 1533-position model. The record is from RNAcentral.